RNAcentral lists this ribosomal RNA (112 nucleotides) under Listeria monocytogenes. Lineage: Bacteria; Bacillati; Bacillota; Bacilli; Caryophanales; Listeriaceae. The record is from RNAcentral.
GAGGAUACGUGUUGCGAGAAGACCCCGCCUGUGCGCGUCCCGAACACGGUGGUUAAGCUUCUCUGCGCCAAUGGUAGGUGGGGGCUUCCCCCUGCGAGAGUAGGUCGCUGCC